RNAcentral lists this long non-coding RNA (2982 nucleotides) under Mus musculus (house mouse). RNAcentral describes it as "predicted gene, 41584". The record is from RNAcentral. Lineage: Eukaryota; Metazoa; Chordata; Mammalia; Rodentia; Muridae.
AGAGCUGAGCUCACUUAGAAUCUGGAGGGAAGGAAGACUGGAAGGAAGGGGUGAAGGAAGAAGGAAGGGCUGAUGGAGAGAGGGAUGGCAGGCAAAAGGCAGGAGAGAGGACAGGCUCUCACUUGCUAGAUGGCCACCCAAAAGAGCUACCGGGAAGACAGAGACAAGAGGUGCAAACCUGGGACCAGCAGUUUGCCCUGCAUGCCUGUCUCUGGUAUUGUCCAGGACUAGGGAGGCCAGAGGGUGAGUACUGCUCCCGUGGGCCCUCAGGACCUAGUUCCCUACGGCUCCCCAACAGUUAUUGGCUGGGAGGCCCGGCCCCGCCUCCUCUUCCCACACCUGCGAGGGCCAGGGCUUAACAAUUCUAGGAAAUGUCUGCCCUGUACAUUUGAGCCGGGGCCAAAUGCUCCGUCUUCCAUCAAGGAAGUUUGACUGUACACCUCACAAAGAAGAAGGUCCAUGUGGACACACACCUGCCUGUUCCUCUUGCCGGUGUGUGUGAGAGGGGUGGGGGUGGGGGGUGACAGAUACCUGAAGCCCCGAAGUGUCUCCAGGGCCAGGGGAGACCUCCUGACCUCUGUGAUGCCUACAGCAGCCACCCAGGGUCUGCUAGAGGUCUAAACAUUAACUUCUAAUGGGAAGUGGACGGCUUAAGAGCAGGUCAUCAAGGGCCACCUGGCUCCCGGGCUGCCAAGUGUUGGGCUGGCUCCUGGGUUUAGAGUCCAGCGCUGGACGGAGCAGAGAAGCCGGGAACCCAGAAUCUCAGAAGCAGUGAGACCAUCUUAUACACAGGAACUCCCACCCUGGUCUUCCAUCGGGGCUCCCGAGGCCGUUUCUCACCGCACCAGGAAGGACAUCUGGAGGCAGCGCCCAAAGGCCUGGUUCAGGCAGGCUACCCAGAGAACCCCGUGCGUUCUGGGAGUCCCCUGUUUAAAGUCAAAUUCUGACCUUUUGUCGUUUCCCUAUCUGUAAAUGGAAGUGCUCGCACAGUACAGGAUGGGGUACUCUUUAAGGAGCUGUUGCUUGGGGCUUGCUGGCCUCGUCACUUUGUAGCGCAGCAGUCAUCGAUGCCCAUUUCCGCGUUUGGAUUUGGUCCCUAGGGAUCUGAGCUGGAGGUUCAAGGCUCCAGGCAUGUGUUGCUUCCCUCGGCUUCAACACGUACGGGUCUUCCCCUCCCCGCCCCAACGGGCAGAGCCACAUCCCGGCUUCCCUCAUUAUCACACUGACAUUUGUUUUGGCUCUCGCAGCAAUGACCUGUUGAAACGAACAAAGGCUGAGGAGGGAAGACCAAGAAUAGGAUGGCCAGGAGCCCAGCUGUGGAGAGAGCCGCAGGCAGAGGUGUUGGUCCGUGCCCUGACCUCAGGCCGGAGGGACAAAGCUGCCGGGGCAGGGAGGUGGGUGUGAGGUGGAGGUCAGGACAGGGCUCCUCCAGCUGCGGGGGCAGGGAGGAGGGAGGCUUGCAUCUGGAUGCCAUCUGGAUCAGAGCAAACACCCAGGGGCCACUCAGGGAAACGCUUGAGAGCAAAUCAAACCCUGCCUGAAAUCACCACCAAGCCCUUGAAUCGAAUGUCUGAAUGUCUGAGGAGGAGGAAUGUGUGGGGGUGGGGAACCACAGCUGGGAAGAGGACAGGGAGGGGAAGCCUAGGGCCCUCCCCAACUCUGUAGACACACCCCUCAGGAGGGGGUGAAGAACAGGGGAGGGGGUGUCCCAAACAUGUAGAGAGUCUGCUUUGCCAAAGAAUUUUGGGUAUCUGAACCCUUUGUCAGACGCUGGCCCCUUUAGGGCUGCUGGUCUUCAGGUCAAUGGCUGUUCACCCUGACAGAACACCUGUGGUGUGAUAAUCCCAGAGACUCAUGUGGUCCAACCCGUGUGGGUAGUCCGGAGUCUGACAGACUGGGUUUGAUUCCUUAUUUUGUCCAAAAGGGGCAUUCCCGAAGGCCAGCUUGCUUGGACCACCCAUUCUUGUAUCUUUGAACUGUAAUCUUGCAGCCUCUUGGAGCCCCUGGAAGCACUCAUGGCCAGUGUCAAACUUGGGGCAAGGCAAUGGCUUGUAGGAGACCCUCAAAUCUUUGUGGUCUGGGGACCAUACCUUCUUGGCCUAUAGCAAGCAGUUACUGACCUAGCCCUUGCUUUUAACACCUCAAGAGAGGAGACAGGACAUACUCACCCCAAGGUCACCAGAGACCUGCAGAAUCCAGACAUACUGACUUUCCCAUCACCUCCCCACAGUCCAAGCCAGAUAUAUGUGUGAAGGGGUCUGUGGAUACCUGAAGAGGCCAGAGACGUCCAGCCCCUUCGAGCUGAAACUACAGAUGGUUGUGAACAACUUGAUGUGGAACUUGGGUCCUGUGCAAAAGAAGCAAGCACUCUGACCCGCUGACUUGGCCUUUCUGAGCCUCCAUGGGCCCAGCCGGACCCGCACCUGCUGAGCUAUGUGUUACCUGCCACAUAAGGCCUGGAAGCCUGGGAAGUCUGAGAGUGAGCAGGCUGCCUCACAGGAGGCCUGGUGAGUUCCAUUUGCUUCUAGAAUUGCAGAGGAACAUGGCCCAGGUCAGCCUUCCCUAAGCAAUCUCUACAAAAAGACAAAGUAGAACCAGGAACACAGAGAAGAUGAAGACCGACCAAGAGGAGAUGGUCCAGGGACCAGGAGAGGUCAGAUGAGUACAGACCGUCUACCUAGGGCAAAACUUGUUCCUGAACUGUAAGUCACUUCCCUUGCUUGUGCCUCGGCUCCUCAUCUGGAAAAUGGGAUCAUACCAUCACACACCUCAGAAGGCUACUGUAAAGUUUGAAACACAUCGUUACCGAGAAAAGGCUUUGUGCUUCAAACUACAAAGCGCUCCACAGAUGUUAGCUGCUACUGUUUUCAUAAAGCGAGAGUCACCGAGAUACCUUUAAAUACACGGAAAAUUAUGAUCAGCAACUCCAGGGAGAAUGAAAGGUAUGCAAAGGAAAUAAAAAGAAGGAGCCUGGCUACCGGC